RNAcentral lists this ribosomal RNA (682 nucleotides) under uncultured rumen bacterium. RNAcentral's name for it is "bacterial SSU rRNA". It matches the Rfam family "Bacterial small subunit ribosomal RNA", at positions 68 to 749 of the family's 1533-position model. The record is from RNAcentral.
AGCGCGUGCAGCAAUGCAUGGCGGCGACCGGCGCAAGGGUGCGUAACGCGUGAGCAAUCUGCCCGUAUCAGGGGGAUAAGCGAUGGAAACGUCGUCUAAUACCGCAUAACAACUUAGGAGGCAUCUUUUGAGUUUGAAAGCUUUGGCGGAUACGGAUGAGCUCGCGAGACAUUAGCUAGUUGGCGGGGUAACGGCCCACCAAGGCUGCGAUGUCUAGGGGAACUGAGAGGUUGGUCCCCCACACUGGAACUGAGACACGGUCCAGACUCCUACGGGAGGCAGCAGUGAGGAAUAUUGGACAAUGGCCGGAAGGCUGAUCCAGCCAUGCCGCGUGGAGGUUUAAGGUCCUAUGGAUUGUAAACUCCUUUUGUACGAGAGCAAUAAGGUGUACGCGUACACCGAUGAGAGUAUCGUACGAAUAAGCAUCGGCUAACUCCGUGCCAGCAGCCGCGGUAAUACGGAGGAUGCGAGCGUUAUCCGGAUUUAUUGGGUUUAAAGGGUGCGUAGGCGGUUUGUCAAGUCAGCGGUGAAACGCACGGGCUCAACCUGUGACCUGCCGUUGAAACUGUCGGACUGGAAUGCGGAUGCUGUGGGAGGAAUGAGUAGUGUAGCGGUGAAAUGCAUAGAUAUUACUCAGAACACCGAUUGCGAAGGCAUCUCACGAAUCCGUCAUUGACGCUGA